GACGAACGCUGGCGGCGUGCUUAACACAUGCAAGUCGAACGGUAAGGCCCUUCGGGGUACACGAGUGGCGAACGGGUGAGUAACACGUGGGUGAUCUGCCCUGCACUUCGGGAUAAGCCUGGGAAACUGGGUCUAAUACCGGAUAGGACCACUGCCUGCAUGGGUGGUGGUGGAAAGCUUUUGCGGUGUGGGAUGGGCCCGCGGCCUAUCAGCUUGUUGGUGGGGUGAUGGCCUACCAAGGCGACGACGGGUAGCCGGCCUGAGAGGGUGACCGGCCACCAUGGGACUGAGAUACGGCCCAGACUCCUACGGGAGGCAGCAGUGGGGAAUAUUGCACAAUGGGCGCAAGCCUGAUGCAGCGACGCCGCGUGAGGGAUGACGGCCUUCGGGUUGUAAACCUCUUUCAGCACCGACGAAGCGCAAGUGACGGUAGGUGCAGAAGAAGGACCGGCCAACUACGUGCCAGCAGCCGCGGUAA
This 478-nucleotide ribosomal RNA is filed under the name uncultured bacterium. Its description in RNAcentral is "partial 16S ribosomal RNA". It matches the Rfam family "Bacterial small subunit ribosomal RNA", at positions 28 to 523 of the family's 1533-position model. The record is from RNAcentral.